AAUUUCUGGCAUGCCAAACUAAAAAGACUUACUUGCCCUUCUAGAAUUAAUUUCCACCAUCUUUUACACAUUUUUUGGUGCUGAUGUAAAAAUUUAAUUAAUUAUGUAACAUCUAAAUUUUAACCGCAGUUUUGGCGGUUCGAGUCAUGGGCCACCUCCUGGCUUUGGUGUUCCAGAGAGGGAAACAUAGUUAACAGUAAAGGCCAGAAUUUAAAAGGUUAUGUAACCUAUAUGUGUCUACAGCGACGGAAUCUCAUUUGGUUUUGGACGAUAUAAAUGUUUCGGCUAUUUAACUUUAACUUUGAAAUCUAGGAAGAAUGAUCUAUAAUGCUUUGAACUUUCGUCGGCUAAAAUCAACUGUCAAGAAACCAUUAAAAGAAGAAUGGUUAAAAAAAAUUUUAAUCAACUAUUUAAAUAUUUUGUCUUCACCCAAUGUUUUAAUUAACAUGUUUUGAUGUGUAGUUAAUAAGGCACCAUGCACUUCCAUCUUGACGGCUUCGGCUCGUGGGUACAGCAGAAAAUAAUAACGCUACUUCCCCAGCAUUGAACAGUAUUGGUACCGCCUAGUCAGCAGUGCUCGGAGGCUACGACGAGUAGGCGGGAGUCUUGAUGUCGCCCACCCGUGUUCUUGUAAUUUGAGAAUGCGGAUAUUGUUGCAAGGCGGGUAGUCACAAGACGAGGCUAACACAUUUCGGAACAGAGCCCCAGGACUCCUCGUGAUGUGGAGCUGACAGUGAACGGACGCGUGUGAGCCAGGGCGGCGAAGAAAUGGGCUGCGGCGGCGAAUUUUGCUACGGACCUAUUUGCACACGAAUUGUGCAAUACUGAGCAUAGAACACUGGCCAGUGUGCUAACCCUCACUACCGGAACAACCAAUGUAAAGCGUCGGCCUGUAGUUCUUAAGUCAUCCCCGGCAGAACAGUUUGAAAUUUUAAGUAAAUGCAAAAAUAAUUGUCACUACACAACGUAUCAAGAACUCGCAUUUUUUGCAACCUUUUCAACCCUGUCUACAGCCUGUGUAUUCGUACAGGAACAGCCUUGGUGAAAUAAAAGAUAAGCGACAGAAAAAAUGCCAGUGACAAUUUUAUAUUCAAGUUUAUUUGGUCGCUGAAAACUUUUAUUUUUCCUUUUGAAACGUAACAGUAGUUAAUGCGUACUACGUUUAUAGGUUGGCCGGGCAGGACAUUUAUGAACUUUUAACUAUUUGUUUAAGGUCAUUGUGUGUUUAAUAAAGCUGUGCAGCACGAAAAUACACGUAGAAGGCCUUUUAAAUAUUUUUGUAGUUAUUUUCUUGUAAUAUUUUAAAAUAUACCUUUAUUUUAAUUAGUUUUAAUGUUGGUAUGUAACGCAAGGGUCUGUGAUAUUUACAAUUUUUUCUUGGAAAAUUUACUUAAUAUUUAAAGGGAUUGUUCCUAUAUUUAUGUAAUCUAGGGAAUAACUUCUUAAUUGUUGGUACUAUGUAUUUUGUUACUCAAUAUUGUAAUACUUUCACCGUAUAUAAAUAAUGAUUUUCA
Molecule: long non-coding RNA, 1514 nt
Organism: Bacillus rossius redtenbacheri
Lineage: Eukaryota; Metazoa; Arthropoda; Insecta; Phasmatodea; Bacillidae
Exons: 3
Source: RefSeq, a predicted model, not a curated record